UACGUAGGGGGCAAGCGUUGUCCGGAAUCAUUGGGCGUAAAGAGCGUGUAGGCGGUCCGGUAAGUCGGUUGUGAAAGCCCAGGGCUCAACCCUGGGAUGCCGACCGAUACUGUCGGACUAGAGUUCGGAAGAGGCGAGUGGAAUUCCCGGUGUAGCGGUGAAAUGCGUAGAUAUCUGGAGGAAUACCGGUGGCGAAGGCGGCAUCCUGGACCGGCAUUGACGCUGAGGAGCGAAAGCUAGGGGAGCAAACGGG
Molecule: ribosomal RNA, 253 nt
Filed under: uncultured bacterium
Lineage: Bacteria
Description: partial 16S ribosomal RNA
Rfam family: Bacterial small subunit ribosomal RNA
Source: RNAcentral